RNAcentral lists this ribosomal RNA (440 nucleotides) under uncultured bacterium. Its description in RNAcentral is "partial 16S ribosomal RNA". It matches the Rfam family "Bacterial small subunit ribosomal RNA", at positions 338 to 795 of the family's 1533-position model. The record is from RNAcentral.
CCUACGGGUGGCAGCAGUAGGGAAUAUUGCUCAAUGGGGGAAACCCUGAAGCAGCAACGCCGCGUGGAGGAUGAAGGUUUUCGGAUUUUUAACUCCUUUUGUUAGAGAAGAUAAUGACUGUAUCUAACGAAUAAUCACCGUCUAACUCCGUGCCAGCAGCCGCGGUAAUGCGGAGGGUGCAAGCGUUAUUCGGAAUCACUGGGCGUAAAGAGCGCGUAGGCGGGAUAGCAAGUCAGAUGUGAAAUCCUAUGGCUUAACCAUAGAACUGCAUUUGAAACUGUUAUUCUAGAGUAUGUGUGAGGUAGGUGGAAUUCUUGGUGUAGGUGUAAAAUCCGUAGAGAUCACGAGGAAUACUCAUUGCGAAGGCGACCUGCUAGAACAUAACUGACGCUGAUGCGCGAAAGCGUGGGGAGCAAACAGGAUUAGAUACCCUCGUAGUC